AAUUUAUAUAGUUUAAAUAAAACCUUAUAUUUUCAUUAUAAAAAUAAACAUUUGUUUUAUAAAUU
RNAcentral lists this transfer RNA (65 nucleotides) under Brumptomyia travassosi. Its description in RNAcentral is "tRNA-Glu". Lineage: Eukaryota; Metazoa; Arthropoda; Insecta; Diptera; Psychodidae. The record is from RNAcentral.